Molecule: long non-coding RNA, 219 nt
Filed under: Physeter macrocephalus (sperm whale)
Lineage: Eukaryota; Metazoa; Chordata; Mammalia; Artiodactyla; Physeteridae
Description: Physeter catodon (sperm whale) Nuclear RNase P (ENSPCTG00005002346.1)
Rfam family: Nuclear RNase P
About the family: Ribonuclease P (RNase P) is a ubiquitous endoribonuclease, found in archaea, bacteria and eukarya as well as chloroplasts and mitochondria. Its best characterised activity is the generation of mature 5'-ends of tRNAs by cleaving the 5'-leader elements of precursor-tRNAs.
Source: Rfam by way of RNAcentral
GGUGGAGGGAAGCUCAUGGCUGGGGCCGUGAGCUGAGUGGGUUUAGUCACUCUACCCCAUGGCUCAUGGGAAGGUGUGAGACUAGGGCCAAAAUCGGCCCCAGCAGGGUGCUCCUUGAGCUUCAGGGAGGUGAGUUCCCAGAGGGGGGAAGAAAAAAGAUCGGAGUUUCCUAAACAGGGUUCCUCUCAAGGAACCCAACUCACUGAGUGUACAGGCAUC